This is a long non-coding RNA of Myzus persicae (green peach aphid), 167 nucleotides long. RefSeq lists it as uncharacterized. The record is from RefSeq and is a predicted model, not a curated record. Lineage: Eukaryota; Metazoa; Arthropoda; Insecta; Hemiptera; Aphididae. The transcript has 2 exons.
CUCGGUUUUGCGCGACACCGUCACGUGAAUAGGAACUCCGGGCUGCCAAUAAAUUAGUUAUCCCAACAUUCCUGCUCCCGAGCUACGGAUAAAUAUAUUCAAAGGAUACACAACUCCUCCCUGAAUAUCUUAUAUUUAACUGGUCUUCCCCGACCACGUUACAGUAC